Molecule: microRNA precursor, 91 nt
Filed under: Musa acuminata subsp. malaccensis (wild Malaysian banana)
Lineage: Eukaryota; Viridiplantae; Streptophyta; Magnoliopsida; Zingiberales; Musaceae
Description: mir-172 microRNA precursor family
Rfam family: mir-172 microRNA precursor family
About the family: mir-172 has been experimentally verified in Arabidopsis thaliana. This family is thought to target mRNAs coding for APETALA2-like transcription factors.
Source: Rfam by way of RNAcentral
GUGUUUGCGGCUGUGGCAUCAUCAAGAUUCACAAGGACCCGAUCCCCGUCCUCCUCCAUGAGAAUCUUGAUGAUGCUGCAUCAGCAAACAA